This 482-nucleotide ribosomal RNA is filed under the name uncultured bacterium. RNAcentral describes it as "partial 16S ribosomal RNA". It matches the Rfam family "Bacterial small subunit ribosomal RNA", at positions 30 to 507 of the family's 1533-position model. The record is from RNAcentral.
AUUGAACGCUGGCGGCAUGCUUUACACAUGCAAGUCGAACGGCAGCGCGGGGCAACCUGGCGGCGAGUGGCGAACGGGUGAGUAAUAUAUCGGAACGUACCCAGAAGUGGGGGAUAACGUAGCGAAAGGUACGCUAAUACCGCAUACGAUCUACGGAUGAAAGUAGGGGACCGCAAGGCCUUAUGCUUUUGUAGCGGCCGAUAUCUGAUUAGCUAGUUGGUGAGGUAAAGGCUCACCAAGGCGACGAUCAGUAGCUGGUCUGAGAGGACGACCAGCCACACUGGAACUGAGACACGGUCCAGACUCCUACGGGAGGCAGCAGUGGGGAAUUUUGGACAAUGGGCGCAAGCCUGAUCCAGCAAUGCCGCGUGAGUGAAGAAGGCCUUCGGGUUGUAAAGCUCUUUUGUCAGGGAAGAAACGGUAGAGGCUAAUAUCCUUUGCUAAUGACGGUACCUGAAGAAUAAGCACCGGCUAACUACGUG